UUGGAGGGCAAGUCUGGUGCCCGCAGCCGCGGUAAUUCCAGCUCCAAUAGCGUAUAUUAAAGUUGUUGCAGUUAAAAAGCUCGUAGUUGAAUUUCGGGGUUAGUAGGUUGGUCGUGCCUCAGGUAUGUACUGAUCUCACUGAUUCCUCCUUCCUGAUGAACCGUAAUGCCAUUAAUUUGGUGCUGCGGGGAAACUGGACUGUUACUUUGAAAAAAUUAGAGUGUUUAAAGCAGGCUAACGCUUGAAUACAUUAGCAUGGAAUAAUGAAAUAGGACGUUCGAUCCUAUUUUGUUGGUUUCUAGGAUUGACGUAAUGAUUAAUAGGGAUAGUUGGGGGCAUUAGUAUUCAAUUGUCAGAGGUGAAAUUCUUGGAUUUAUUGAAGACUAACUACUGCGAAAGCAUUUGCCAAGGAUGUUUUCAUUAAUCAAGAACGAAAGUUAGGGGAUCGAAGACGAUCAGAUACCGUCGUAGUCUUAACCGUAAACUAUGCCGACUAGGGAUCGGAUGAUGUUAAUUUUUUAAUGACUCAUUCGGCGCCUUACGGGAAA
Molecule: ribosomal RNA, 548 nt
Filed under: uncultured Glomeromycotina
Lineage: Eukaryota; Fungi; Glomeromycota
Description: SSU rRNA
Rfam family: Eukaryotic small subunit ribosomal RNA
Source: RNAcentral